This 1050-nucleotide ribosomal RNA is filed under the name Triticum aestivum (bread wheat). RNAcentral's name for it is "partial small subunit ribosomal RNA". The record is from RNAcentral. Lineage: Eukaryota; Viridiplantae; Streptophyta; Magnoliopsida; Poales; Poaceae.
AUGGACACCAUCGCCGACGGAAACGGCCUGUGCCUCCCCUACGACGUGCUCCUGCUCCACAAUGUCCUCCGCCACCCCCGCCCCAUGCCGUUGCCCGGUUCCAUACCGUUUGCCGCACAUUGGGAGAAUUAUACCGACGUGUGCAACCCUGCGACGAUACAGUGCGCUCCCUUGCCUCCCUCGCCGGUGAUGCGGUCGGGACAUAGAACUGAGGGCACGUUUCUUGCAUUCGACCCUGCUGUGUCGCUGCACUACAAGUUGUACAAGGUGUUCAAGGUGCUCAACAAUCACGAAGAGAUCUACUCUACUCACACGCCGGCAUCCGAGGAGCCAAUGGCAAAGGUGGUCUACUCGGUGGUGUUCUCGUCACAAACUAGACGAUGGGAGAUGCGCAAGUUUAAGCAAGGGCGUUGCGCCCCUAGGCACCUUCAAAAUGUUCAGGACGCCUUUGCGUGUGAUAUUAAUUGGCCAUCUGCCGAGUACUGGCGUGGGUCGUUGUACGUGGCUUGCGAGAAUGGCGUCCUCAUGAUCCUGAACUGCUCAGAGGAGACAUACGAUAUGGUUCAGCUUCCAGGAGAAAUCUACAACAACGGAGGACAAACGUAUCAGCUACCUCGAAGGUCCCUCUUGGCGAGUUAUGGGAAAGGUGUACGCUGCGCGGAGCUCAAGGACUUGCAGCUCCGGAUAUGGGCAUUGACAAGAUCGUGCGACGACCAACUUGGGUGGACGCUAGCACACGAGGCUGACCUCAGUCCGCAUGUGUAUAUGAUGAAGCACAACUCACGGACAAUAGAAUCAUGGGUGACAUGGGAGAUGGUCGCAAGCAGCAGAACGCCUUUCAGCUUGUUGAAACAAAUUAGUAACAACAACAACGGCAAUUUCAUCGAAUUGGACAAAAGUGUCACCGGUCUAAGGAAAAUGCAUCCGACCUACGGCGGUAUCAUCGGACUCCAUCCACGUAAAGACGUGCUCCUCCUUGAUAUUGGCGGCAUAGCGGUUGCAUACCACAUUAACACAUCAAGAAUGCAGUGUUACACGAAUGGCUUUUAA